UACGAAGGGGACUAGCAUUGUUCGGAAUUACUGGGCGUAAAGCGCACGUAGGCGGAUUUGUUAGUCAGGGGUGAAAUCCCGGGGCUCAACCUCGGAACUGCCUUUGAUACUGCAAAUCUCGAGUCCGAUAGAGGUGGGUGGAAUUCCUAGUGUAGAGGUGAAAUUCGUAGAUAUUAGGAAGAACACCGGUGGCGAAGGCGGCCCACUGGAUCGGUACUGACGCUGAGGUGCGAAAGCGUGGGGAGCAAACAGG
RNAcentral lists this ribosomal RNA (253 nucleotides) under uncultured bacterium. Its description in RNAcentral is "partial 16S ribosomal RNA". It matches the Rfam family "Bacterial small subunit ribosomal RNA", at positions 524 to 776 of the family's 1533-position model. The record is from RNAcentral.